GACGAACGCUGGCGGCGUGCUUAACACAUGCAAGUCGAACGGAAAGGCGCUGCUUUUGUGGGGUGCUCGUGUGGCGAACGGGUGAGUAACACGUGAGUAACCUGCCCUUGACUUUGGGAUAACUUCAGGAAAAUGGGGCUAAUACCGGAUAGGAGCUCCUGCUGCAUGGUGGGGGUUGGAAAGUUUCGGCGGUUGGGGAUGGACUCGCGGCUUAUCAGCUUGUUGGUGGGGUAGUGGCUUACCAAGGCUUUGACGGGUAGCCGGCCUGAGAGGGUGACCGGCCACAUUGGGACUGAGGUGCGGACCAGACGGCUACGGGAGGCAGCAGGGGGGAAUAUUGCACAAUGGGCGGAAGCCGGAUGCAGCAACGCCGCGUGCGGGAUGACGGUCUUCGGGUUGGAAACCGCUUGCGCCUGUGACGAAGCGUGAGUGACGGUAACGGGUAAAGAAGCACCGGCUAACUACGUG
RNAcentral lists this ribosomal RNA (468 nucleotides) under uncultured bacterium. Its description in RNAcentral is "partial 16S ribosomal RNA". It matches the Rfam family "Bacterial small subunit ribosomal RNA", at positions 28 to 507 of the family's 1533-position model. The record is from RNAcentral.